CCGAGUGAGGGCCUCCGGGUCCGACCUCCAACCCUUUGUUGACCAACACCUGUUGCCUCGGGGGCGACCCGGACGCCGACGCCGUCGGCCGUCGGGCCCCCGACGGACCACUCUCCAACUCUGCAUCCAUGCGUCGGAGUGACGAGUAAAUGAAUCA
Molecule: unclassified non-coding RNA, 157 nt
Filed under: uncultured Capnodiales
Lineage: Eukaryota; Fungi; Ascomycota; Dothideomycetes; Capnodiales
Description: sequence contains ITS1
Source: RNAcentral